Long non-coding RNA from Alosa sapidissima (American shad), 514 nucleotides. RefSeq lists it as uncharacterized. The transcript is spliced from 3 exons. The record is from RefSeq and is a predicted model, not a curated record. NCBI's taxonomy places the organism in Eukaryota, Metazoa, Chordata, Actinopteri, Clupeiformes, Clupeidae.
GAAUAGGGGCAUGAGAGGAGCUAAAGUGCUGAUUUGAAUGGGGGCAUGAGAGGAACUAAAUGCUAAAGUGCUGAUUUGAAUGGGGGCAUGAGAGGAGCUAAAUGCUAAAGUGCUGAUUUGAAUGGGGGCAUGAGAGGAACUAAAGUGCUGAUUUGAAUGGGGAUAUGAGAGGAGCUAAAGUGCUAAAGUGCUGAUUUAAAUGGGGGCAUGAGAGGAACUAAAGUGCUGAUUUGAAUGGGGGCAUGAGAGGAACUAAAGUGCUGAUUUGAAUGGGGGCAUGAGAGGAGCUAAAGUGCUAAAGUGCUAAAGUGCUGAUUUGAAUAGGGGCAUGAGAGGAACUAAAGUGCUAAAGUGCUGAUUUGAAUGGGGGCAUGAGAGGAACUAAAGUGCUGAUUUGAAUGGGGGCAUGAGAGGAGCUAAAGUGCUAAAGUGCUGAAUUGAAUGGGGGCAUGAGAGAAGCUAAAGUGCUAAAGUGCUGAUUUGAAUGGGGGCAUGAGAGGAGUUAAAGUUCUGA